CCAAGGCACUUAAAAAUAAGUCAUAGAUGUAUCAUUCGGGUUCCUUUGCUAGAACUCAGAUGAUGCACAUGUGAGUCAUUUGCUUCGAAUGCAUUAAACAAAUGGAAUCCAAAAAUAUAAAAAUCUGUUUUACAUUUCAAAUAUGAAUUCUCUAUUUUGAAUACUUUUAUAUAGUUACACACACGCACGCGCGCGCGCGCACAGAGAGAGAGAGAGAGAGACAGAGAGACAGAGAGACAGAGAGACAGACAGGCAGACAAGCAGGCAAGCAGGCAGGCAGGCAGGCAGGCAUGCAGGCAGGCAGGCAGGCAGGCAGGCAGGCAGACGGACAGAUGGAUCGACAUACAGACAAGAGUUUAUUUAUAACAAAUGAAACAAAGACAUUUUUCAAAAUAUUGCAAAUUUCCAGUGUUUCAAGCAUUGAAGCAUGAAAAUUAAAGUACUCUUUACAUGCUGCAAGAGAUCUCAUUCGGGAAGUAAAAAUAGAAUCGUGGGCUGAUUCGGCAAGCUUGCUUGGUUUGAACAAGUUGCAGUGUAAAUCCAAAUAGCAACGAACACGGUGGUUUUUGGAGCGUCUGAUCGUAAUUUUAAAUAAUAUCUAUCAAGAGUGAAUUUGUCGAAGUUGCGAAAUACAUUAUCGAUAAUAUUAUUUCUAUAUAUAAAACAUAUUCAAAUGUAUUGCAAUGAAAUUUGUAAUGACACGUCAAAUUAUGCUCUCGGUGGUGAUCAGUAGAAUACGAAUAAACGAGCGUAAAACAGCGUAACAAAAUUAAUUGUAAGCCAAACGAGAGAUAUCUCAAUAAAUAAGGGCUGAAAGAAUCGACGUGGUGAUAAUUUUUUAUGGAUGAGGGAAAAGUGUAUGUGUACCUUCUCGCACAGAGAUUUUACUUGGCUUUCUGUUAGUUGUUGGCAGUUAUUUAAUUGUUCUAUCCACUGAUCGAGUUCCUUCAACGACGCCUUUUCCUCCAUCGUACAAAUCUACGUAUGAAGUCUACGGAUAGCCCGCACUCUUAGCACAUGUAAUAAAAGUAAAGCGAGUCCGUCCCGUAAACUAAAUCAUUCGGUUUUACUGGAAAAGCUUCGUAACACAAAUAUCCCGAUCCAGCACACACUCACAAAAUGGCCGAUUGCGAGUACGGACGGUGACGUCACAUUAAAUUCAUGCGUGCUUCACUAGCUAUAACCUAGAUUAUUGUGCCGGCCAAUCGCGUUCUGCAUUUAACCCGCUUUUACCAAUCAGAAGUCGAGUUUGC
RNAcentral lists this unclassified non-coding RNA (1253 nucleotides) under Bombus terrestris (buff-tailed bumblebee). Its description in RNAcentral is "misc RNA ENSBTSG00005037289.1". The record is from RNAcentral. Lineage: Eukaryota; Metazoa; Arthropoda; Insecta; Hymenoptera; Apidae.